GUUAGAUUCAAUACUCUAAGAUUGCUGCAAUUAAGAAGCUCAAGAGGAAGCUUCCCUGAGAAUGAAUUAGAAGGCAACCAAAGGGUAGUCAAGCUCUCAAGGGCAGAAAUGGAUGGUGAAAUCUCACCAGAGAGAGACUUGUUGUCAAGUGAGAUUUCAGUCACUUUCCCAGAUGUGAGAUCGCAGGUAAUCCCAGAAAACAUGCAUGGAGAAUCUAAUUCUUUCCAAGAAUCCAAAACGUUCAAAGGGUCUUUCAGCUGUCUUUUGAAUUCAAGCAAGGCCUGGGUCUCAACAUUCGAGCCAAAAGAAAGCGGGAAAGCUGACAAGAAUAGGAAGAAAAGAAGUGAAAUGAAUUGCAAGGAAAGAAAACAGNNNNNNNNNNNUUGGGAAAUAGUAAAAGAAAAACAAAGAGCUUGCUAAAUUGCUCCUUCAAUUGUCGCCAUUGUUGCAUCCUUGGUGACGUUGGAACGUCAAUUCUGUCUUUAAC
This 487-nucleotide unclassified non-coding RNA is filed under the name Hevea brasiliensis (rubber tree). The record is from RNAcentral. Lineage: Eukaryota; Viridiplantae; Streptophyta; Magnoliopsida; Malpighiales; Euphorbiaceae.